CCACUUGUUGACCUUAUUUUGCGAAUCUGACAUCGGAAAUGGACUCCGCACCACCGAAAACAUCUAUAGCAGCCCUCUCCUCUAUUUUUCCGUCGCUGUAAGCUGUGUCCAAGUCUCACCGGAGUUGAAGCUUUCUGUCCUCGGUCCAGUGGCUUCCGGUGAGAUUCCGGCAAAGAUAUUUGCAUAUCUGGACUCCACGGAUCUCAAGCUUCGCAUAAAUGCCCCCGGAUCCAAAUUCUGACACCAUUGACUGUACCAAUUUUUGAACUCCGGUGUUUUUCUGACGCCGAGAAUUUUAAAUUUUUAGCUCGGUAAGAAUUUAUUUGAACUCAAUAAAUUAAUUAAAAUUUUUAAGAAAUAUUAUCACUAUUAGUUAUAUAAUUAUAAUUAAUUAAUUGAUUUAAUUUAAUUAAUUGCUAGAUUAAUUAUAAACAUUAUGGAUUAAUUAAUGGAAUAAAAAAAAUAUUUGUUUUUGCAAUAAUUGUGGCUAUGAAUAAUUAAAUUAAAUUCUGAGAAAUUACUUGUGAGUUGGAUUGUGAAAUAAACAUUAAUGCUAUACUAUUAUUUAUUAGUUAUGAACUAUGUUAUGUUGCAGAGUCGGGAAAAUGAUACAGAUAUAGGUGACUCGACUCCUGCUAAAUAUUUGAUGAAUAUUAGAAGCGUUUUUAGCAAGUUUUGGACAUGUUAUACGGGAGAUAAACAUUCGUAUUUUAUGAGAGGUUUUGUCAAAUUUUCAAUAGAAUUUCCAAGUCGGUUGAUUCAGUUAAUUUGAGACGUUAAAUUAAUUGUCUUUUGGGUUGUUUCUUGACAUUGAGAAAUGUUUGUUACAACUGGAAUUUGAAUAGUAAGAACUGGUAGUUAACACUUAGAGAUAAGGUUAAUUCACUCGCCGGAUUAAGAAUUAAUAACUCUUAAUAGAUCUAAAUCACGCUUAAUGCUAAUCUGUAAUAAUCUUAUAGGAAGAUAUUCCAUUAGGUUAGUGUUGGUUUAGGAAGUUGGUGAGCGAGAGAGAGGAACCAAGUUCGAUUCAGGAUUUAGGCAUGGGUAAGCAAGAUUGGUAAUUUAUAAAAUCAACCUUUAGAAUUCCAUCACUUAGGUCCCCUUUGGGUUUGUUUUUCUUGUUGUGGUUGUCUUUCGAUUGUCAGUUGCUGUUUAUUUAUUUAUUUGCAUUCAUAAUCAUUAGUUAGUUAAUUUAGACUUCUCACACUCUAUUUUAGACUAGAUAACAUAGCGAACAAUAGUAACUCUAGGUUCACCCGAUCUUCAGGGAUACGACCUUGAUACUCACUAGUGCUAGGCCGCAUCUUCACUGCCUUAGGUGUAGGUUGCAUAAGUAGCCCAUCAGCUCCCCAUUUGGCCCGUCUUGAAACACGGACUAAGGAGUCUGACAUGUGUGCGAGUCAAUGGGCGAGUAAACCCAUAAGGUGUAAGGAAGCUGACUAGCGAGAUCCCCUCAUCGGUUGCACUGCUGACCAACCUUGAUCUUCUAAGAAGGGUUCGAGUGAGAGCAUGCCUGUCGGGACCCAAAAGAUGGUGAACUAUGCCUGAGCGGGGCGAAGCCAGGGGAAACACUGGUGGAGGCCCGCAGCGAUACUGACGUACAAAUCGUUCGUCUGACUUGGGUAUAGGGUUGAAAGACUAAUCAAACCGUCUAGUAGCUGGUUCCCUUUGAAGUUUCCCUCAGGAUAGUUGGAGCUUGAGAUGAGUUCUAUCGGGUAAAGCUAAUGAUUAGAGGCAUCAGGGGCACAACGCCCUCGACCUUUUCUCAAACUUUAAAUAGGUAGGACGACACGACUGCUUCGUUGAGCCAGGCCACGGAAUCGUGAGCUCCAAGUGGGCCAUUUUUGGUAAGUAGAACUGGCGAUGCGGGAUGAACCGAAAGCCGGGUUACAGUGCCCAACUGCACGCUAACCUAGAACCCACAAAGGGUGUUGGUCAAUUAAGACAGCAUGACGGUGGUCAUGGAAGUCGAAAUCCACUAAGGAGUGUGUAACAACUCACCUGCCGAAUCAACUAGCCCCAAAAAUGGAUGGCGCUUAAGCGCGCGACUUAUACCUGGCCGUCAGGGCAAGAGCCAAGCCCCGAUGAGUAGGAGGGCACAGUGGUCGCUGCAAAACCCAGGCGCGAGCCCAGGCAGAGCGGCCGUCGGUGUAGAUCUUGGUGGUAGUAGUAAAUAUUCAAAUGAGAACUUUAAAGGCCAAAGAGGGGAAAGGUUCCAUAUGAACGGCACUUGCACAUGGGUUAGUCAAUCCUAAGAGACGGAGGAAGCCCGUCCGACAGCGCGAACUUUGAAAGGGAAUCGGGUUAAAAUUCUUGAACUGGGACGUGGCGGCUGACGGCAACGUUAAGGAGUCCGGAGAUGUCGGCGGGGGCCUCGGGAAGAGUUAUCUUUUCUGUUUAACAGCCCCCCCACCCUGGAAACGAGUCAAUUGGAGGUAGGGUCCAGCGGCUGGAAGAGCACCGCAUGUCGCGCGGUGUCUGGUGCACCCCCGAUGGUCCAUGAAAAUCUGGAGGAUCGAGUGCCAUCCACGCCCGGUCGUACUCAUAACUACAUCAGGUCUCCAAGGUGAACAGCCUCUGGUCAAUAGAACAAUAUAGGCAAGGGAAGUCGACAAAAUGGAUCCGUAACCUCAGAAAAAGGAUUGGCUUUGAGGCUUGGGCCCGAGGGUCCUAGUCCUGAACCCGUCGGGUCAGUUAGCGAGGAAUCCUCGCGUGCCAGCCCUCUAUUUCAGAGGCAGCGCGCCUAUCGAGCCCGUUGGCUAGAAUCCUCACAGGUGCGGGCCCGUUGGCAGCGCAUCCUUGUAGCCUAGCGCACGCGUUGGCUAGCAUCCUCGUAGCCUAGCGUCGCGU
This 2850-nucleotide non-coding RNA is filed under the name Ricinus communis (castor bean). Its description in RNAcentral is "Eukaryotic large subunit ribosomal RNA". The stretch from base 863 to 2850 matches the Rfam family "Eukaryotic large subunit ribosomal RNA", at positions 1 to 2081 of the family's 3401-position model. Lineage: Eukaryota; Viridiplantae; Streptophyta; Magnoliopsida; Malpighiales; Euphorbiaceae. The record is from Rfam by way of RNAcentral.